UGGCGGCCGCUCUAGAGCUAAUACAUGCAUUGAGCCUGAAGGCCUUUGGCUGACGGGCGCUUUUAUUAGACCAAGACCCAUCGGGUUCUGCCCGUACUCUGUGGUGACUCUGGAUAACUUUGUGCUGAUCGCAUGGCCAUGAGCCGGCGACGUUUCUUUCAAGUGUCUGCCUUAUCAACUUUCGAUGGUAGGUUACUUGCCUACCAUGGUUGUUACGGGUAACGGAGAAUCAGGGUUCGAUUCCGGAGAGGGAGCCUGAGAAACGGCUACCACAUCCAAGGAAGGCAGCAGGCGCGCAAAUUACCCACUCCCGGCACGGGGAGGUAGUGACGAAAAAUAACAAUACGGGACUCUUUUGAGGCCCCGUAAUUGAAAUGAGUACACUCUAAAUCCUUUAACGAGGAUCAAUUGGAGGGCAAGUCUGGUGCCAGCANCCGCGGUAAUUCCAGCUCCAAUAGCGUAUAUUAANNCUGCUGCGGUUAAAAAGCUCGUAGUUGGAUCUCAGUUCCAGACUGAGUAGUGCAUCUACCCGAUGCGACGGCUCGGACUGAACAUCAUGCCGGUCCUCUCUUGGUGCCCUUCAUUGGUGCGUCUCGAGGAGGCCUGCGCUUUUACUUUGAAAAAAUUAGAGUGCUCAACGCAGCGAGUCGCCUGAAUAAACUUGCAUGGAAUAAUAGAACAAGACCCCGUUUCUGUUCUGUUGGUUUUUGGAAUACGGGGUAAUGAUUAAGAGGGACAGACGGGGGCAUUCGUAUUGCGGCGCUAGAGGUGAAAUUCUUGGACCGUCGCAAGACGAACUACUGCGAAAGCAUUUGCCAAGAAUGUUUUCUUUGAUCAAGAACGAAAGUCAGAGGUUCGAAGGCGAUCAGAUACCGCCCUAGUUCUGACCAUAAACGAUGCCAACCAGCGAUCCGCCUGAGUUACUCAAAUGACUCGGCGGGCAGCUUCCGGGAAACCAAAGUAUUUGGGUUCCGGGGGAAGUAUGGUUGCAAAGCUGAAACUUAAAGGAAUUGACNGANNGGCACCACCAGGAGUGGAGCCUGCGCUUAAUUUGACUCAACACGGGAAAACUUACNCGNNNCGGACACUGGGAGGAUUGACAGAUUGAGAGCUCUUUCUUGAUUCGGUGGAUGGUGGUGCAUGGCCGUUCUUAGUUGGUGGAGCGAUUUGUCUGGUUAAUUCCGAUAACGAACGAGACUCUAGCCUAUUAAUAGUGCGGGUUCCCAGCACCUUACAACCUUCUUAGAGGGACAACGCUCCUAGCCGCACGAAACAGAGCAAUAACAGGUCUGUGAUGCCCUUAGAUGUCCGGGGCCGCACGCGCGCUACACUGAAGGAAGCAGCGUGUCUUUAUCCCUGUCUGAAAAGACUGGGUAACCCGUGGAACUUCCUUCGUGAUUGGGAUAGGGGCUUGCAAUUGUUCCCCUUGAACGAGGAAUUC
This 1441-nucleotide ribosomal RNA is filed under the name Amblyomma americanum (Lone Star tick). RNAcentral describes it as "SSU rRNA". It matches the Rfam family "Eukaryotic small subunit ribosomal RNA", at positions 147 to 1613 of the family's 1831-position model. Lineage: Eukaryota; Metazoa; Arthropoda; Arachnida; Ixodida; Ixodidae. The record is from RNAcentral.